GGCACCUUAUACACAACAUUUGUUCUAACUUAGAAAGUCGCGGGAAAGCCAGGAAGUAACGUUACAGCCAAUCAGUUGAGGGGAAACAUCUCAUGUUUAAAAUGCCUGUGAUAUCAGAGAGAAGGCGUCAACAGACAGCUUUGUAAGAGUCUAGUGUGAAAGUGCAAGCUAACUGUUGGCAAGAAGACCCACAGGACCAAUUCAAAACUGGAGCACUCAAUGUGUCUUGAAGAUGAAGUAAAUCUGUGAGUGGAUGACUUUAUAUGCCAGUGAAAGAGAAAGGUAGGGAAAGCAUGCACAUUGACCGAUGGUUAAUG
Molecule: long non-coding RNA, 317 nt
Filed under: Carassius auratus (goldfish)
Lineage: Eukaryota; Metazoa; Chordata; Actinopteri; Cypriniformes; Cyprinidae
Description: lncRNA (ENSCARG00000050326.1)
Source: RNAcentral